AUUGAACGCUGGCGGCAGGCUUAACACAUGCAAGUCGAACGAGUGGCGGACGGGUGAGUAAUGCUUGGGAAACUGGCUGAUGGAGGGGGAUAACUACUGGAAACUGUCGCUAAUACCGCAUACCAUCGGAUGUGCCCAGAUGGGAUUAGCUAGUAGGUGGGGUAAUGGCCAACCAAGGCGACGAUCCCUAGCUGGUCUGAGAGGAUGACAAGCCACACCGGGACUGAGACACGGCCCGGACUCCUACGGGAGGCAGCAGUGGGGAAUAUUGCACAAUGGGCGCAAGCCUGAGGCAGCCAUGCCGCGUGUAUGAAGAAGGCCUUCGGGUUGUAAAGUUCUUUCGGCGAGGAGGCGUUACUCACAGAAGAAGCACCGGCUAACUCCGUGCCAGCAGCCGCGGUAAUAC
RNAcentral lists this ribosomal RNA (406 nucleotides) under uncultured bacterium. Its description in RNAcentral is "partial 16S ribosomal RNA". It matches the Rfam family "Bacterial small subunit ribosomal RNA", at positions 30 to 526 of the family's 1533-position model. The record is from RNAcentral.